AUUGAACGCUGGCGGCAGGCCUAACACAUGCAAGUCGAGCGGAUGAAGGGAGCUUGCUCCUGGAUUCAGCGGCGGACGGGUGAGUAAUGCCUAGGAAUCUGCCUGGUAGUGGGGGAUAACGUCCGGAAACGGGCGCUAAUACCGCAUACGUCCUGAGGGAGAAAGUGGGGGAUCUUCGGACCUCACGCUAUCAGGUGAGCCUAGGUCGGAUUAGCUAGUUGGUGAGGUAAAGGCCUACCAAGGCGACGAUCCGUAACUGGUCUGAGAGGAUGAUCAGUCACACUGGAACUGAGACACGGUCCAGACUCCUACGGGAGGCAGCAGUGGGGAAUAUUGGACAAUGGGCGAAAGCCUGAUCCAGCCAUGCCGCGUGUGUGAAGAAGGUCUUCGGAUUGUAAAGCACUUUAAGUUGGGAGGAAGGGCAGUAAGUUAAUACCUUGCUGUUUUGACGUUACCAACAGAAUAAGCACCGGCUAACUUCGUG
Molecule: ribosomal RNA, 484 nt
Filed under: uncultured bacterium
Lineage: Bacteria
Description: partial 16S ribosomal RNA
Rfam family: Bacterial small subunit ribosomal RNA
Source: RNAcentral